AUCCCAUGGUGAUGGCAUUUUUGUAACAAUUCUUUGAAUAUCUCCCAUGCCUCAUACAAGGAUUCAUCAUCCAAUUGUUGAAAUUAGUGAUCUCAUUUCAAAACUU
This 106-nucleotide small nucleolar RNA is filed under the name Gossypium hirsutum (cotton). Its description in RNAcentral is "Plant small nucleolar RNA R71". It matches the Rfam family "Plant small nucleolar RNA R71". Rfam says of the family: R71 is a member of the C/D box family of snoRNAs containing the C (UGAUGA) and D (CUGA) box motifs. The record is from Rfam by way of RNAcentral. Lineage: Eukaryota; Viridiplantae; Streptophyta; Magnoliopsida; Malvales; Malvaceae.